This 253-nucleotide ribosomal RNA is filed under the name uncultured bacterium. RNAcentral's name for it is "partial 16S ribosomal RNA". It matches the Rfam family "Bacterial small subunit ribosomal RNA", at positions 524 to 776 of the family's 1533-position model. The record is from RNAcentral.
GACGAACCGUGCGAACGUUAUUCGGAAUCACCGGGCUUAAAGGGCGCGUAGGCGGGCCGAAAAGUCAGGGGUGAAAUCCUCCAGCCCAACUGGAGAAGCGCCUUUGGUACUGUCGGCCUCGAGGGGUGCAGGGGCAUGCGGAACUCAGGGUGGAGCGGUGAAAUGCGUAGAUAUCCUGAGGAACACCGGUGGCGAAAGCGGCGUGCUGGACACCUACUGACGCUGAGGCGCGAAAGCCAGGGGAGCGAACGGG